GACAGAGGGUGCAAACGUUGUUCGGAAUUACUGGGCGUAAAGCGCGUGUAGGCGGCCCUGCAAGUCGGGCGUGAAAUCCCACGGCUCAACCGUGGAAGUGCAUUCGAAACUGCAGGGCUAGAGUCCUGGAGAGGAAGGUGGAAUGCUUGGUGUAGAGGUGAAAUUCGUAGAUAUCAAGCGGAACACCGGUGGCGAAGGCGGCCUUCUGGACAGUGACUGACGCUGAGACGCGAAAGCGUGGGGAGCAAACAGG
This 253-nucleotide ribosomal RNA is filed under the name uncultured bacterium. Its description in RNAcentral is "partial 16S ribosomal RNA". It matches the Rfam family "Bacterial small subunit ribosomal RNA", at positions 524 to 776 of the family's 1533-position model. The record is from RNAcentral.